GGCUGGUCCGAUGGCAGUGGGUUAUCAGAACUUAUUAACAUUAGUGUCACUAAAGUUGAUAUACCACCCCCCCCACUGCUAAAUUUGACUGGCUUUAA
Cavia porcellus (domestic guinea pig) is the source of this 98-nucleotide unclassified non-coding RNA. It matches the Rfam family "Y RNA". Rfam says of the family: Y RNAs are components of the Ro ribonucleoprotein particle (Ro RNP), in association with Ro60 and La proteins. NCBI's taxonomy places the organism in Eukaryota, Metazoa, Chordata, Mammalia, Rodentia, Caviidae. The record is from Ensembl.